AGAGUUUGAUCCUGGCUCAGGACGAACGCUGGCGGCGUGCUUAACACAUGCAAGUCGAACGGAAAGGCCCUGCUUGCAGGGUGCUCGAGUGGCGAACGGGUGAGUAACACGUGGGUGAUCUGCCCUGCACUUCGGGAUAAGCUUGGGAAACUGGGUCUAAUACCGGAUAGGACUACGCACUGCAUGGUGUGUGGUGGAAAGCUUUUGCGGUGUGGGAUGGGCCCGCGGCCUAUCAGCUUGUUGGUGGGGUGAUGGCCUACCAAGGCGACGACGGGUAGCCGGCCUGAGAGGGUGUCCGGCCACACUGGGACUGAGAUACGGCCCAGACUCCUACGGGAGGCAGCAGUGGGGAAUAUUGCACAAUGGGCGCAAGCCUGAUGCAGCGACGCCGCGUGGGGGAUGACGGCCUUCGGGUUGUAAA
RNAcentral lists this ribosomal RNA (421 nucleotides) under uncultured bacterium. Its description in RNAcentral is "bacterial SSU rRNA". It matches the Rfam family "Bacterial small subunit ribosomal RNA", at positions 8 to 429 of the family's 1533-position model. The record is from RNAcentral.